RNAcentral lists this ribosomal RNA (1476 nucleotides) under metagenome. Its description in RNAcentral is "bacterial LSU rRNA". It matches the Rfam family "Bacterial large subunit ribosomal RNA", at positions 1415 to 2912 of the family's 2925-position model. The record is from RNAcentral.
CCGAUGGAUAACAGGUUGAAAUUCCUGUACUGCUUAUGGACAGAACUGUGGGGACGCAGAAGGAGAGCACGAGCCGGAAAUGGAAAAGCCGGUACAAGCGUAUAGCAGUCAUGCAGGCAAAACCGCAUGAAAAAUGUAAAGCGUUAUGUGGAUCGAACAUUAGUAGAGAAGCGUGUGAGCCAGCUGCCAAGAAAAGCCGCUAUUGCUUCAUAAGUACCCGUACCGUAAACCGACACAGGUGGAUGAGGAGAGAAUCCUAAGGUCGGCGGGAGAAGUGUUGUUAAGGAACUCGGCAAAAUGACUCCGUAACUUCGGGAGAAGGAGUGCCACAGAGAUGUGGCCGCAGAGAAAUGGCCCAAGCAACUGUUUAGCAAAAACACAGGUCUAUGCAAAACCGAAAGGUGAGGUAUAUGGGCUGACGCCUGCCCGGUGCUGGAAGGUUAAGAGGAGAGGUUAGAGCAAUCGAAGCUUUGAAUUCAAGCCCCAGUAAACGGCGGCCGUAACAAUAACGGUCCUAAGGUAGCGAAAUUCCUUGUCGGGUAAGUUCCGACCCGCACGAAGGGCGUAAUGAUUUGGGCACUGUCUCAACAACACACCCGGUGAAAUUGAAAUACCAGUGAAGAUGCUGGUUACCUGCGCCAGGACGGAAAGACCCCAUGGAGCUUUACUCCAGUUUGAUACUGGGAUUCGGUACUGUCUGUACAGGAUAGGUGGGAGGCUAGGAAAUGGUGACGCCAGUUGCCAUGGAGCCAACCUUGGGAUACCACCCUUACAGUACUGGGUUUCUAACCUGCAGCCGUAACCCGGCUGGGGGACAAUGUCUGACGGGGAGUUUGACUGGGGCGGUCGCCUCCGAAAGAGUAUCGGAGGCGCUCAAAGGUUCCCUCAGAACGGUUGGAAACCGUUCGAAGAGUGCAAAGGCAGAAGGGAGCUUGACUGCGACACCGACGGAUGGAGCAGAUACGAAAGUAGGACUUAGUGAUCCGGUGGUAUAAAGUGGGAUUGCCAUCGCUCAACGGAUAAAAGCUACCCUGGGAUAACAGGCUUAUCACUCCCAAGAGUUCACAUCGACGGAGUGGUUUGGCACCUCGAUGUCGGCUCAUCGCAUCCUGGAGCUGUAGCAGGUUCCAAGGGUUGGGCUGUUCGCCCAUUAAAGCGGUACGCGAGCUGGGUUCAGAACGUCGUGAGACAGUUCGGUCCCUAUCCGGCGUGGGCGUAGGAUAUUUGAGAGGAGCUGUCCUUAGUACGAGAGGACCGGGAUGGACAAACCUCUGGUGUAUCUGUUGUUUUACCUAAGGCAUGGCAGAGUAGCCAAGUUUGGCAGGGAUAAACGCUGAAGGCAUCUAAGCGUGAAGCCCCCCUCAAGAUAAGAUAUCCCAUCUUCGGAGUAAGACCCCUUGAAGACUACAAGGUUGAUAGGCUUUGUGUGUAAGUGCGGUAACGCACUCAGCUGAGAAGUACUAAUAGGUCGAGGAC